This 783-nucleotide non-coding RNA is filed under the name Rhopalus maculatus. The record is from RNAcentral. Lineage: Eukaryota; Metazoa; Arthropoda; Insecta; Hemiptera; Rhopalidae.
AUAUAGAUUGAUUCUGUCUAUUUAAAUUAGCUAUUUAUAUAAUUUUAUAUGUAAAUUUUUGUGUGAGGUUUUAUUUAUCUAAAUGAUAAAUUUCAUUUUAAUUUGCAGUUUUUUAUUUUGUAUAAUUUUUGAAAUAAAGAUACAGUUAAUUUUAUUAGAAUUGUUUAAGAUUGUGCCAGCAUACGCGGUUAUACAGUUGAUUCAUGUUAAUUUUUUUGGUUUAUAUUUAUUAUGUUGUUUGGAAAUAAUUAUAAUUUUAUUAGGUGAAAUUUUAAUUUUAUUUAUUUGUUUUUGGUUUAGAAUAUAUGAAAUUUAGUUUUAUAAACUAGGAUUAGAUACCCUAUUAUUAUUAAAUUUAAAUUUAUAAUCAUGGUAUUAAUAGUUAUGAUCUUUAAAUUAAAAGAAUUUGGCGGUAAUUUAGUCUUUUCAGAGGAACCUGUCCUGUAAUCGAUAAUCCACGUUGGAUUUUACUUUAAUUUAUUGUUUGUAUAUCUCUGUUAUUGAAUGUUUUAUUAGAAUAUUUUCUUUAAUUAUUUAUUUAAUUAAUAUCAGGUCAAGGUGCAGCUAUAUUAAAGGUUGAGAUGGGUUACAUUUAAUGUUAUUUAUUGGAUUUAUAUUUUAUUUGGAUAUUAAAUUUAAUGAAACAGGAUUUGAAAGUAAUUAAUAUUAAUUUUUAUUAAUGAUUUGAGCUCUAGAUUAUGCACACAUCGCCCGUCACUCUCAUUAUUAAAAUGGGAUAAGUCGUAACAAAGUAAUUUUACUGGAAAGUGAAGUUAGAAUUUU